RNAcentral lists this transfer RNA (69 nucleotides) under Ictinogomphus sp. MT-2014. RNAcentral's name for it is "tRNA-Tyr". It matches the Rfam family "tRNA". From Rfam's summary of the family: Transfer RNA (tRNA) molecules are approximately 80 nucleotides in length. Their secondary structure includes four short double-helical elements and three loops (D, anti-codon, and T loops). Lineage: Eukaryota; Metazoa; Arthropoda; Insecta; Odonata; Gomphidae. The record is from RNAcentral.
GGUAAGAUGGUCGAGAAUAUAGGCGAUAGACUGUAAAUCUAUAAAGGAGGAAAGAUUCCUCUCUUAUCA